RNAcentral lists this ribosomal RNA (868 nucleotides) under Hypomyces rosellus. Its description in RNAcentral is "partial large subunit ribosomal RNA". It matches the Rfam family "Eukaryotic large subunit ribosomal RNA", at positions 40 to 938 of the family's 3401-position model. The record is from RNAcentral. Lineage: Eukaryota; Fungi; Ascomycota; Sordariomycetes; Hypocreales; Hypocreaceae.
AUAUCAAUAAGCGGAGGAAAAGAAACCAACAGGGAUUGCCCCAGUAACGGCGAGUGAAGCGGCAACAGCUCAAAUUUGAAAUCUGGCCCCUCGGGCCCGAGUUGUAAUUUGUAGAGGAUGCUUUUGGCAAGGUGCCGCCCGAGUUCCCUGGAACGGGACGCCGCAGAGGGUGAGAGCCCCGUCUGGCUGGCCACCGAGCCUCUGUAAAGCUCCUUCGACGAGUCGAGUAGUUUGGGAAUGCUGCUCAAAAUGGGAGGUAUAUGUCUUCUAAAGCUAAAUAUUGGCCAGAGACCGAUAGCGCACAAGUAGAGUGAUCGAAAGAUGAAAAGCACUUUGAAAAGAGGGUUAAACAGUACGUGAAAUUGUUGAAAGGGAAGCGCUCAUGACCAGACUUGGGCUUGGCGAAUCAUCCGGCGUUCUCGCCGGUGCACUUCGCCUCGCUCAGGCCAGCAUCAGUUCGCGCCGGGGGACAAAAGCUUCGGGAAUGUGGCUCCUCCGGGAGUGUUAUAGCCCGUUGCAUAAUACCCUGGUGCGGACUGAGGUUCGCGCAUCUGCAAGGAUGCUGGCGUAAUGGUCAUCAGCGACCCGUCUUGAAACACGGACCAAGGAGUCGUCUUCGUAUGCGAGUGUUCGGGUGUCAAACCCCUACGCGUAAUGAAAGUGAACGCAGGUGAGAGCUUCGGCGCAUCAUCGACCGAUCCUGAUGUUCUCGGAUGGAUUUGAGUAAGAGCAUACGGGGCCGGACCCGAAAGAAGGUGAACUAUGCCUGUAUAGGGUGAAGCCAGAGGAAACUCUGGUGGAGGCUCGCAGCGGUUCUGACGUGCAAAUCGAUCGUCAAAUAUGGGCAUGGGGGCGAAAGACUAAUCGA